UACGAAGGGGGCUAGCGUUGCUCGGAAUCACUGGGCGUAAAGCGCACGUAGGCGGCUUUUUAAGUCAGGGGUGAAAUCCCGGAGCUCAACUCCGGAACUGCCCUUGAUACUGGAAAGCUUGAGUCCGGGAGAGGUGAGUGGAACUGCGAGUGUAGAGGUGAAAUUCGUAGAUAUUCGCAAGAACACCAGUGGCGAAGGCGGCUCACUGGCCCGGUACUGACGCUGAGGUGCGAAAGCGUGGGGAGCAAACAGG
This 253-nucleotide ribosomal RNA is filed under the name uncultured bacterium. RNAcentral describes it as "partial 16S ribosomal RNA". It matches the Rfam family "Bacterial small subunit ribosomal RNA", at positions 524 to 776 of the family's 1533-position model. The record is from RNAcentral.